This is a long non-coding RNA of Ctenopharyngodon idella (grass carp), 3769 nucleotides long. RefSeq lists it as uncharacterized. The record is from RefSeq and is a predicted model, not a curated record. The transcript is spliced from 3 exons. NCBI's taxonomy places the organism in Eukaryota, Metazoa, Chordata, Actinopteri, Cypriniformes, Xenocyprididae.
GUAAAGAUUUUACAUUGUUACAAAAGAUUUCUAUUUCAAAUAAAUGCUUUUCUUUCGAACUUUCUAUUCAUCAAGGAAUAAAGAAAGAACCUUUCCAGAAUAUUAUUAGGCAGCACAACCAUUUUCAACAUUGAUAAUAAUAAAUGUUUCUUGAGCACCAAAUCAACAUAUUAGAAUGAUUUCUGAAGGAUCAUGUGACACUGACAAGACUGGAGUAAUGAUGCUGAAAAUUUAGCUUUGCACCACAUAAAUAAAUUACAUUUUAUUACAUUUAUUUUUGAUCAAAUAAAUGUAGCCUUGGUGAGUAUAAGUUGAACAGUAGUGUAUUUUAAAGGCAUACAUUUCCGGGGGGAAUUUACAAGAGUCAUAGAGGCCUUAAAUGAACUUGUUUGGCUACUGAGAUAUUUUUGGAAUGUUAUUCUCAGUUUACAGGAACAACAAGGUCUAUGUACAUAUGCAAAUUAUAGAUUUACAUAAAAAUAAUACAGAGCACCUUGUAUUUGAAACAUCACAUUGCACAAAAAAACUAUGCUAUUUAUGUAUUAAAUCCAUAUGAGGUUUAAUAGAUCAUCAUAGGAUCCAUUUAAAGGUAUUGGGUGGUAAAAUCUGUUAUGUAAAAAUGUUAUUUAAAUUGUACCUUAACUUAAACUUUACCUUAACGUAAUCAAGCAAUUUAAAAAGAAUCAGAAAAAAAGCUUAGGCCUACUGCUCUAGGCAAAUAAGCUUUCAGCCCUCCCUCCCUAUGUUGUCGACUACUGUAUAUAUAGUUAAGUGUAAUCUCAUAGUGUCUGCUGCCACACUUUUUUUCCUUAACCUCUUUCUCGUGAUGUGGCUGAUAUUGGGACUUUUCCACACCUCUUCACUCAUCCACUCAGGUAAUGCAAAAUAAGACAGCCUAUGACUCAAGACAAUUAAGAAUGCAAUCAUGGGAAUGUUUAAGUCAUUAAUUUUGUAUGUCCUAUGGUGUAUGUGAAGUCUUAAUAUGUUCCUUCAAAAUAUCAUUUUAUGUAUAUAAUUUAAAUUCUCUUAAGGAACAGUUGAAAUGCUGCAGUGUCUGAAUUUUAAGAGUCCAACCUGUGUGAGCCAGUUCACUUCUGGCACUGGCGAAGUUUGCGCUGUUCUAAGGACUGAUGAAAAUUUUUCAGGUCAGCUAUAGAUUGUUACCGUUUCUUGGUUUAUCUGAAAAGAAUUUAGUUGAAAAACUUGAAAACAAUCGCAAUAUAAAAUAUUGUAUAUAUAAUAUUAAAUACAAUAUAAUAUAUUGUAUCUAUAUUUUAUCAUUUCAAAGACAAUAAACUGGCCAUCAUGUUUUUUUGUGUUUCUUCUUUUUUUUUUAUUUUUUUUUUUAUGUGAAGCAAAUGUCAGAGAUUCAUGUGUCAUAAGGACCUCUCUGCCCAAAGCAUACUGUUUGGAGCAGAAAGCAAACAGUUCACCAGCCACUGCAUCAAUUGGUUUAGGUUUUGUAAAUGUAGCUCUCAGUGUUUCCUGCUGCUCCACUGAUCACUGUAACAGUGUCAAUCUGUCUGAACCCAACCAUGCCCCAAAUGGAUUAAAAUGUGUCUCAUGCAACAACUUGACAGAUAAACAUUGUACUACAACAGUGUCCUGUGUGGGAGUCCAGGACCGCUGCCUUGAUGAUACAGUUUCAUCAGGUACUAUACUAGGAAACAUCAUACGGAUACUUUUUCCUUCCCUUCAACGUGCUACACUCAAGGGUUGUGUCUCAAGAAAUCUUUGUGGACCUUCAUCUAUCACCAAGUUCAGCUGCAUUAGCAAUUCAGUGUACCCAGCCAUCAAAAAUAAAGACUUUAGUGUUUUUCUGAUGGGCUUUAUUACUGCUAAUUUCCUGUAAUUUCAAUGUAAUUGUUGUUCAGGUAUUCUGGAAUGUUUUGAAAAUACCUAUAGUUUAUAAUCCAUACCUGCAUCUUAUUAUACAUAGAUAUGUGUAUUGAUUCUGUAUAAGAAUGAGUGCAUUAUCCAAUUUUUUUUUCUUCUUCUUUUUUUUUUUUUUUUUUUUUUUUUUUUUUACAUGUGAAGGUGAGGGUAUUUAAUUAUAUUUUGUAUAGCUUGAUGUUAGGGUUGAAAUGUUUUAUCUGCAAUUUUGUAAACAUUAAUGAUCAACAAUUGUAAAAACGUUACAUGUCUUAAAACGAGUAUCAUAUAGGCUAAAAGUAACAGUUACAUUACACUGUACAAAAAUUACAGUUUGUUGUUUUAUCUGGAGUUCAGUGUAACAGUGGACCCUUUUCACAUUUCUAGGGUUCUAAUAAGCGGAAGUUGUCACAGUUGGGUAUAAACAGAAACUAGUACAGCAAAAGUGUUCCGUUCCACGUAUGUUUUUUUUUGUUUUUUUUUUCUCUCUCUUUUGUUAUCUUGCUUUCGAGUUAUUCUUAGGUUGAUCUUAUUGGACCGGAGAACUGUCAAUCAUCUUGGUGAUGUCAUGAUGUUUUGACGUCAUGACCAGCAUUCCGCCAAUCUGCAGGGUUGCUGAUGGUUUAAAAGGCUGUGGCGGUGUUACACCUGCAGUGAGCGUUUUGGUUUCGGACCUCACUCACUUUCCGUGCCUUUGUCAUGCUAGAAGCCAGCCAGCCAGCCAGCCAGCCAGCCAGCCAGCGUGUGUUUGAACUCUUCGUUUAGUCCGUGGUUUAUUGAGACGGCAUUCCUGUGAGUUUGUUUGUGAUUAGACGCACCCGUGUAUUAGUUAACCUGUUGGAGAAAGAGCGUGCUUCAACUUUCACAUGUUCAAUGUAUGUGUGGAAUACGUGUAGAUACUGGUGUGAAUUUCUUUGUUAUUGCCCACCUCGCAGAACGCUGUGUUAACCCCUCGAUUUGCCCUUUUAAGCCCUUUGUUAUGUACAAACCUACCUAGCGUUAAUUUCAAUUCCAUUGAUAACUAACCCGUUACUUCCGACAUACAUGACGUUGGCCCAAAACCGGUAGCUAGUACUUGUAAUGUUAGUUAGUGUAUGGGUGUUCGCCUCUAUUGUAUUUUUAUUUAUGCAGUAUAGUUCAGUUAAGGCGUCGCAUACGCCGAAGCUUGCAGGUUUCAUUUCUGCAUUUUUCUUUUGGUAGGCAGUUUAGGGGUUUGGUGUUAGUUAAUGGGUUUUUGUUUUGAUUAUUUCUUUAGUUUGGCGUUAGUUUGGCGAUACCCUCGUUUCUUCUUUUUAACUUUAUUGACUCUUUAUGUUUCUCUUGUAUUGUUCCUUUUCCCCUGUGUUAAUUAACAUUGGGUUUUUGCUGCAACCUUGUUGUCUGGUCUGUUCUCCCUCACGCUGCAACAGCUGCAUCUCACUUAAAUGUUGUGUUCAUUACAUUUAAUAUCCUUAAGCACGUAACAAAAGUCAUUUUUGCAUUCCCAUUUUCCCCAGUAGCAAAGAAAAAAAAAAAACAAUUAUAAAAUUUCUGAUUUUACAAAAAAGGCGAGGAAAAAAAAAAUAUAUUGAGAUAUUGAUUACGUUGGUCAGAAGAGAAAAAGAUGUUCAAUUUGCUUUCACUUCCUCAGCUGUUCUAUAAACACUUACACAGCAGAUUUAAACAGUUUUCUACGGUGGAGAGCUCAAAGGAAAGCAGAGAAAGCUCAAUGCACUGCAACUGAAGAAAACACAUGCAAACAGAAAAAACACCAGCAAAUUAAGAAAACUUCAUUAGUGUUCUGCAAAUACUCACAAUGCAACCAAUUCUUCAGUUGCAAUACGUUGAGCUCUCUUGGCCACCGUAGUUUUCCAUAAUUUAAUGCCUAAGUAAGAAAACAACUCAAGUCACAACUGCA